Molecule: long non-coding RNA, 1368 nt
Filed under: Capsicum annuum
Lineage: Eukaryota; Viridiplantae; Streptophyta; Magnoliopsida; Solanales; Solanaceae
Description: long non-coding RNA (CANN_LNC005961)
Source: RNAcentral
UCAAUUUUACAGAAUAACAGACAUAAAUUACUUUUGGUUUGUCUUGUGAACUCUUUUAGGUCGUCCAUUAUUAUAAUUAGUUGCUGGUGGUUUUCCUGGACAGCGGCACCUGUUUGUUUCAUCACAUAUGGGAUUUAGGUCUAUGCAAUCUACCACCUAACACAAUCGUCAUCACUUGAGCACGCAGCGUUGCUUCCUUGUCCUACCAACAUUCAUGGACAUGUAGUAGAAUAUUUUUAUAAACGAUGACAAAUAGUUGAAUAAGUGAAUAAAUGAAUAAAAUAGAGUAUAAUAACAGGUGAUGUAAUUAUACAUAUUUAACAAAAAAAUAAAUGAUGAAGCAGAAUAUCGGGACUAGGGCUGGGCAUAAAAUAUCAAAAACAGAAUUACCGAACCGAACCAAAAAAUUUAGUAAUUGGUAUUCAAUAAUUCGGUAUUUGGUAUGGUAUUUGGGAGUAAAACUUUAAUAUUUCGGUAUUCAAGAUUGGGUUUGGUAAAAGAUAUUAAUACCGUUUGGUAUUCGGUAAAAUACGAUAUGUCUAACCAACUCAAUAGACAAUAGUAUUGGUCAAUCCCAAAGAAUCUCUUGAACCUUAGUAAUAUAUUCGUAAAAGCAACAAAAGGAAUACUAAAUAGGGUUUUUAUUAAAUAUAUUCUUUGAAGUUUAAACGUACAUUUGGACAUUUUCAACUUUAAUAUGGUUUUACCAAAAACCGUACCAAAAAGAAGUUUAAUUUACUGAUUACUGAAUUACCGUACAGAUGUUUAUAAGUAUGGUAUGUGAUAUCUACUUUCAAAUAUUGAUUAACGAAUUACCGAACCCGAAAUUUAAAAUACCAAAUCAAAUACCGAAUGCCCACCCCUACUCGUGACAUUGCUUGGAGCACAUUAUAUCCGCCUCUAAAUUAAGUUAUUGAAACAAAAAAAAUAACUAGAGUUAGGUUUUAUAUAACAUAUAUUUAUUACUAGUAACCUACAAUGAAUGAUAAAUGGCAUGAGCGAUAACAAGUUAGAUUACUAAUGUAAAAUUGUCAUAACAUUGUACGUGGAUAAACCUUAAUGAAAUCCCAUUCAUGAUAUGAAUAAAGAUACACAAAUUUCUAAAUUUAUAGAGUCGAAGUUGGUUGAUAAGAAAAUGCAAUGAUCAUACAAUUGCUUGCCUGUCGUAACUAGCAACUUUGACGUUAUUGAAAAGAAGAAAAUAAGUAGAGUUAUCAUAUUUUAUAAUAUAUAAAAAAAAAAAAUUGAUUUAAACUUAUCAAGAUUUAAAUUGCUUACCUAACAAAAUAAGUAAAAAGGAGACCAAGAAAAUCUUAAAGAAUGUUGCCUUGUUCAUUCUUUUCCAAGUUUUGUGAUAGCUAAAUAGGA